RNAcentral lists this ribosomal RNA (460 nucleotides) under uncultured bacterium. RNAcentral describes it as "partial 16S ribosomal RNA". It matches the Rfam family "Bacterial small subunit ribosomal RNA", at positions 338 to 795 of the family's 1533-position model. The record is from RNAcentral.
CCUACGGGAGGCAGCAGUGAGGAAUAUUGGUCAAUGGACGAGAGUCUGAACCAGCCAAGUAGCGUGAAGGAUGACUGCCCUAUGGGUUGUAAACUUCUUUUAUAUGGGAAUAAAAUGUUCCACGUGUGGGAUUUUGUAUGUACCAUAUGAAUAAGGAUCGGCUAACUCCGUGCCAGCAGCCGCGGUAAUACGGAGGAUCCGAGCGUUAUCCGGAUUUAGUGGGUUUAAAGGGAGCGUAGGUGGAUUGUUAAGUCAGUUGUGAAAGUUUGCGGCUCAACCGUAAAAUUGCAGUUGAAACUGGCAGUCUUGAGUACAGUAGAGGUGGGCGGAAUUCGUGGUGUAGCGGUGAAAUGCUUAGAUAGCACGAAGAACUCCGAUUGCGAAGGCAGCUCACUGGACUGCAACUGACACUGAGGCUCGAAAGUGUGGGUAUCAAACAGGAUUAGAUACCCCAGUAGUC